GGACGAACGCUGGCGGCGUGCUUAACACAUGCAAGUCGAACGGAGAAUUCAUUUCCCGAAGUUUCGGAUGGAGGGAGCGGAUUUUAGUGGCGGACGGGUGAGUAACGCGUGAGCAACCUGUCCUGCAGAGGGGGACAACAACGGGAAACCGUUGCUAAUACCGCAUAAGACCACGGUCUCGCAUGGGGCUGAGGUAAAAGGAGAAAUCCGCUGCAGGAGGGGCUUGCGUCCCAUUAGAUAGUUGGUGAGGUAACGGCUCACCAAGUCAGCGAUGGGUAGCCGGACUGAGAGGUUGAACGGCCACACUGGGACUGAGACACGGCCCAGACUCCUACGGGAGGCAGCAGUGGGGAAUGUUGGGCAAUGGGCGCAAGCCCUGACCCAGCAACGCCGCGUGAAGGAAGAAGGUCUUCGGAUUGUAAACUUCUGUCAUUGGGGACGAAGGAAGUGACGGUACCCAAUGAGGAAGCCCCGGCUAACUACGUGCCAGCCGCGGC
This 497-nucleotide ribosomal RNA is filed under the name uncultured bacterium. Its description in RNAcentral is "bacterial SSU rRNA". It matches the Rfam family "Bacterial small subunit ribosomal RNA", at positions 27 to 518 of the family's 1533-position model. The record is from RNAcentral.